CAGCAGCCGCGGUAAUACGUAGGGUGCGAGCGUUAAUCGGAAUUACUGGGCGUAAAGCGUGCGCAGGCGGUUUUGUAAGACAGGCGUGAAAUCCCCGGGCUCAACCUGGGAAUGGCGCUUGUGACUGCAAAGCUAGAGUGCGGCAGAGGGGGAUGGAAUUCCGCGUGUAGCAGUGAAAUGCGUAGAUAUGCGGAGGAACACCGAUGGCGAAGGCAAUCCCCUGGGCCUGCACUGACGCUCAUGCACGAAAGCGUGUGGAGCAAACAGGACUAGAUACCCCAGUAGUCCCUGUCUCUUAUAA
This 301-nucleotide ribosomal RNA is filed under the name uncultured bacterium. RNAcentral describes it as "partial 16S ribosomal RNA". It matches the Rfam family "Bacterial small subunit ribosomal RNA", at positions 509 to 809 of the family's 1533-position model. The record is from RNAcentral.